GUUAAAGUCAGCAAUGGUGGAAAUAGGAACCCAUCCUUGGCCAUCCAUCAAGGAUAUUAGGUAAUGAUCAGUCUUCAGAUUUUCAUCACUGAAAUAAUAAUCUAUUUGUCUUAUUAUGCUCUCUCUCAAAGACGGUGUUUCUUGGGGGAGGAGAGGAGCCCCUGGACUAGUAGGAUAUGGCAUAAAACGUGGAGGGUGGCCUCCCCUGAAAGAGCCUGUAGGUGCAACAGGAACAUAGCAUAUAGGUGGUCCAGGGAAGGUUGGAGCAACCAUGAAGCCUGGAGCAGGAGCAAAUAAGGGAGGCCUGACUAGAGGCCUUGGUCCCAUACCCUGUUGCAAAGCCAUGUUAUCUCUGGGGCUAAAUGCUCGUUGAUGCCAUGCAUAAUUCAAAUGGCUACCAGGUUCUGGCACACUGGGUCUUCUAUUUGAAAAAUUGACAGCAAAAGCAUUGGGAUCCCCUCUUGGUGGAGUCUGAACAUUAACAGACGGAACAAAAGGUUGGACAGUAGAAGAAUCAGAUCCAGACUUUACCAAAUGAGUUUCAAUGCUAGGAAAAGGAGCAAGGCCAGGCUGGUAAGCAUAUCCAGAAACAGCAAUGUGAGGUGGAGGCACCAUAGCAUGAAAAACAGGUGGAAAAGUCGGUUGCUGGUAAGGAAAGGGUACAGGGAAAGGAGGUGCAACAUUUGGGUUGCGCUUAGAGCCUAAUUUUUGAUGUCUUGAUGAUGAAUACUUAUGUGAAGAAUUAGGGUUUCCAGAACCAUUUGACUUGUGUUGCCCAACUGAUCCCUGCGUUGGAGACGGAACAGAAGUCGGCUUUGUAGCAGAAUCAAUACUCUUGGAGCGUUGUUGGUGAUGGGCGUCGGCAAGAGCAGGCCAAGACUCUGCGCCCAUCACAGGAGCAUCGGCCACCACCGGAGUCUUCCAGGGGGACUUGGGACCACUAUUCACCUCCUUCUGAUCAUCCCCACCCUCACUCUCCGCCAUC
RNAcentral lists this unclassified non-coding RNA (985 nucleotides) under Hevea brasiliensis (rubber tree). Lineage: Eukaryota; Viridiplantae; Streptophyta; Magnoliopsida; Malpighiales; Euphorbiaceae. The record is from RNAcentral.